RNAcentral lists this transfer RNA (72 nucleotides) under Candidatus Peribacter riflensis. RNAcentral's name for it is "tRNA-Asn". It matches the Rfam family "tRNA". From Rfam's summary of the family: Transfer RNA (tRNA) molecules are approximately 80 nucleotides in length. Their secondary structure includes four short double-helical elements and three loops (D, anti-codon, and T loops). Further hydrogen bonds mediate the characteristic L-shaped molecular structure. tRNAs have two regions of fundamental functional importance: the anti-codon, which is responsible for specific mRNA codon recognition, and the 3' end, to which the tRNAs corresponding amino acid is attached (by aminoacyl-tRNA synthetases). tRNAs cope with the degeneracy of the genetic code in two manners: having more than one tRNA (with a specific anti-codon) for a particular amino acid; and 'wobble' base-pairing, i.e. permitting non-standard base-pairing at the 3rd anti-codon position. Lineage: Bacteria; Candidatus Peregrinibacteriota; Candidatus Peribacteria; Candidatus Peribacterales. The record is from RNAcentral.
UCCCCUGUAGCUCAAUGGUAGAGCAGGGCGCUGUUAACGCCAAGGUUGCUGGUUCGAGUCCAGCCGGGGGAG